Molecule: long non-coding RNA, 269 nt
Filed under: Lathyrus oleraceus (garden pea)
Lineage: Eukaryota; Viridiplantae; Streptophyta; Magnoliopsida; Fabales; Fabaceae
Description: Pisum sativum (pea) long non-coding RNA (PSAT_LNC042265)
Source: RNAcentral
AAGUUCAGCACCAGAAACCACUGAACCAACUGACAAUGAGUCUUAUUUUCAAUUUUUUUUGAAGGUUCUACAUCCGUUGGGUUAAGUGACCGGGUGAGGGUCACCAAACUUAGAAGGUGCAUUCCCUUUUCUUUCUCUUUUUUUUUCUUUUUCGGAACACUCACUUAUAUUCAUCGGCUUCCCUGCGUAGAGUGUGUGUGAGAUGGUGUUGACUGCUGAAAUAAAUUAUUCAAGAGCUGUCAGAGAAUGAGAAUUUAAGGCUAAAACAU